Molecule: non-coding RNA, 304 nt
Organism: Sus scrofa (pig)
Lineage: Eukaryota; Metazoa; Chordata; Mammalia; Artiodactyla; Suidae
Rfam family: 7SK RNA
About the family: 7SK was discovered as an abundant small nuclear RNA in the mid-70s but a possible function has only recently been suggested. Two independent studies have found that 7SK RNA binds the CDK9/cyclin T complex (known as elongation factor P-TEFb).
Source: Rfam
GGAUGUGAGGGCCAUCUGGCUGAGACAUCUAUCACCCCGCUGAUGGCCAGGGUUGAUUCGGCUGAUCUGGCUGGCUAGGCAGGCAUCCCCUUCCUCCCUCACCACUCCAUGUGUGUCCCUCCCGAAGCUGCACGCUUGGUCGAAGGGGACGACCGUCCCUGACAGAGGAGGACCAUUCUUCAGUCAAGGGCAUGAGAGUAGCUGCACUCCCUGCUAGAACCUCCAAACGAGCUCUCCAGAAAACAUGUACCGGCACGCAGACAUGGGAAACAUGGACACAUGCCCUCCAGCUAGCUCCCCUGCU